Molecule: unclassified non-coding RNA, 4181 nt
Filed under: Amphibalanus amphitrite
Lineage: Eukaryota; Metazoa; Arthropoda; Thecostraca; Balanomorpha; Balanidae
Description: rNA polymerase-associated protein CTR9 homolog, transcript variant X1
Source: RNAcentral
AGUAGCACGAAGAAAUAUAGACCAACUGUGCACCGAAAUGUCAUGCUCCAAAAACAUUUACCGAAAUGUAUCCUAGGCCAAAACGACGCACUUUUUGAUACGAAUGGCCGCGUGGCGCAGUUUCUUUUCAUUGCUUUUUUGCGAAUUAAUUGUGAAUUUCGAUGUAAGACAGCCCUCAACCUGUAUUCAAUUUUAACAUGGGUCCUGUCUUGAAGCAGGGAUAAACUGAAAGCUAAAGCAAACAUCACAGACGCGAUGGCGUCGGCGGCGGGCACCAUCGAGAUCCCGCUGCGGGACAACCCGGAGGAGGUGAUCGAGCUGGACGCCGGCCAGCUGCCAGAGGGCGACGAGGUGCUCACCAUCCUGCGCCAGGAGGAGGCGCCGCUCCACCUCUGGGUCACCGUGGCCGUCCACUACUUCAAACAGAACAAUGCCGCCGACUUCGUCAAGAUCCUGGAGGCGUCUCGCACCGAGGCCAGCCUCAACUACCGCGACUUCCAGAAGGACCAGAUGCGCGCCCUGGACACGCUGGCCGCCUACUAUGUGCGCCAGGCCAACAGCGAGAAGAACAAGGACCGCAAGAAGGAGCUGUUCACCAAGGCGACCCUGCUGUACACCACGGCCGACAAGAUCAUUAUGUACGACCAGAACCAUCUACUGGGCCGCGCCUACUUCUGUCUGCUGGAGGAGGGCGACAAGAUGGACCAGGCCGACGCCCAGUUCAACUUCGUGCUCAACCAGUCGCCCAACAGCAUCCCGUCGCUACUCGGCAAGGCCUGCAUCGCCUUCAACAAGAAGGACUACAAGGGUGCGCUGGCGUUCUACAAGAAGGCGCUGCGUACGAACCCGCAGUGUCCGGCUGACGUGCGGCUCGGCAUGGGCCACUGCUUCCUCAAGCUGGGUAACGCCGAUAAGGCGCGGCUGGCGUUCGAGCGAGCCCUCGACCUGGACGCCAACUGUGUCGGCGCGCUCGUCGGACUGGCCAUUCUGGAGCUGAACAACAAGCAACCCGAGUCGAUCCGCAGUGGUGUGCAGAUGCUGUCGCGCGCCUACACCAUCGACCCCACCAACCCCAUGGUGCUCAACCAUCUGGCCAACCACUUCUUCUUCAAGAAGGACUACGGCAAGGUGCGGCAGCUGGCCACCUACGCGCUCUACAACACGGAGAACGAUGCGAUGCGUGCUGAGAGCUGUUACCAGCUGGCACGCGCGUUCCACGUGCAGGCGGACUACGAGAAAGCGUUCCAGUACUACUACCAGGCGACGCAGUUCGCGCCGCCGAGCUUCGUGCUUCCCAACUACGGACUCGGCCAGAUGUACAUCUACCGUGGCGAUACUGAAAACGCCGCACAGUGCUUCGAGAAGGUGCUCAAACUGCAGCCGGGGAACUACGAGACGAUGAAGAUCCUUGGCUCGCUGUACGCCACGUCGACGAGCGAGUCCAAGCGUGACAUCGCAAAGGGUCACCUGAAGAAAGUCACCGAGCAGUUUCCGGACGACAUCGAGGCUUGGAUCGAGCUGGCCCAGAUCCUGGAAGGUACUGACCUCAACGGCUCGCUGGCUGCCUACAACCACGCCAUCGGCAUCCUGAAGGACAACGUCAUGGCCGAGAUCCCGCCCGAGCUGCUCAACAACGUGGCCUCGCUGCAGUUCCGGCUGGGCAACCAGGAGGCGGCGCACAAAAACUACGAGCUGGCGUUGGACCGGUGUAAGCGCGAGUCGGAACACGACGCGCAGUACUACAACAGUAUCAGCAUCACGAUCACCUAUAACCUGGCGCGGCUGUUCGAGGUGCGCUGGCUCAACGACCGUGCCGAGAAGCUCUACAAGGAUAUCCUGAAGGAGCACCCCAACUACGUGGACUGCUACCUGCGACUGGGCUGCAUGGCGCGCGACCGCGGUCAGAUCUACGAGGCAUCUGACUGGUUUAAGGAAGCUCUGCAGGUUAACAACGAGCACCCGGACGCCUGGUCUCUGAUCGGCAACCUCCACUUGGCCAAACAGGAGUGGGGACCUGGCCAGAAGAAGUUCGAGAGGAUCCUGAACACGACGCCGCACGAUCCGUACUCGCAGAUCGCGCUGGGGAACGUCUGGUUACAGACGCUUCAUGUGCCCACCAAGGACAAAGACAAGCUACAGCGGAACCAGGCGCGCGCGCUGGCUAUGUACAAGGAGGUGCUGCGCCACGACCCGCGCAACAUCUGGGCGGCCAACGGAGUGGGAGCCGUCAUGGCGCACAAGGGCUACAUCUCAGAGUCCCGAGACAUCUUCGCGCAGGUCCGCGAGGCCACGGCAGACUUCUGUGACGUGUGGCUCAACAUCGCGCACGUGUACGUGGAGCAGAAGCAGCUGGUCAGUGCCAUCCAGAUGUACGAGAACUGCCAGAAGAAGUUCUUCAAGUACAACAACGUGGAGGUGCUGCUGUACCUGGCGCGCGCCUAUUUCAAGGCGGGCAAGCUGCGCGAGGCCAAGAUGACGCUGCUGCAGGCGCGACGUGUUUCACCCCAGGACACGGUGCUGCUCUAUAACCUGGCGCUGGUGCUGCAGCGACUCGCCAUGCAGAUUCUCAAGGACGAGAAGUCCAACCUGAAGACAGUGCUGCAGGCAGUGCACGAGCUGGGCCUGGCGCACAAGUACUUCCAGUACCUCUCCAUCAACGGCGAUCGCAUGAAGUACGACCUGGCGAUGGCUGAGGUGGAGGCGCGUCAGUGCCAGGACCUGCUGUCGCAGGCACAGUACCACGUGGCCCGCGCUCGUCGACAGGACCAGGAGGAGCGCGAACAGCGCCGCCGCCAGGACGAGUCGCGUCAGACGUUCCUGCAGCGGCAGCAAGAGGAGCAGAGCCGGCGCGAGGCCGAGCGGCGCCAGCGCCUCGAGGAGCAGAUGCGCGCCCGCGAGGAGUUCAAGGAGAAGAUGAAGAACGCGGUGGUGAUCCCAGAGAUCCCGUCCGAACCGAGCCGCGGCAAGAAGCGCGGCCGCGGCCGGCGCGACUAUGUCUCCGACUCUGGCGGCUCUGGCGGCGAGCAGGGCGGUGGUCCGUCCGGCAAGAAGCAGCGCAAGCCACGCGAAAAGAAGGAGCGCAAACCGGGCAAGGGCCGCAAGAAGCGCGAGGCCGGCUCGGGAUCGGACGGCGAGCCCCGCGGACGCGCACGCAAGAAGAAGAAGGCCGAGACCGAGGACGUGGACGGCUUGACGGUGAAGCAGCGCCGCAAGGUGGUGUCCAAGGCGACCAUCUCGGACUCGGACAGUUCCGACUCGGGCGGGGCUCGCCGCCGCCGCGACAGCAGCAGCGACGACGCCGGCGCCGGUGGACGCGGCAAGAUUGUAUCCGACUCGGACGAAAGCCCGGCCCGCUCGCGUUCCGGCUCGCCGCGCAAGUCACGCUCGCGCUCAAAGUCUCGCUCCAAAUCGCGUUCUCGAUCGCGGUCGCGCUCUGGCUCCGGUUCGCGUUCGGGCUCGACCGGCUCCCGGCGGUCGGUGAGCCGCUCAAAGUCCCGCUCUCGGUCGCGCUCUGGCUCGCCGGGGUCGCGCCGGUCGCGCUCCAAGUCGGGCUCCCGCUCCGGCUCCGGUUCUCGCUCGCGCUCGAGGUCUGGAUCCCGCUCCAAGUCCCGCUCGAAGUCCCGCUCUAAGUCUCGUUCUAGGUCCCGUUCUAGGUCCAAGUCUAAAUCUCGUUCCCGUUCGCGGUCGCGCUCUGGAUCUCGGUCUGGCUCGGCGGCGUCAAAACGUUCCGGCUCGGCGGCUUCUCAGCGAUCAGGGUCGGGUUCGGACUGAGCUGUGAGCUGUGCGACUAUCUGACUGGACUGGAAGUGCCACUGGACUGGACUGGGGACUGGAAAUGUGCGGUGAUCGGAGUGAGUGAGAGUGUGGUGUGCGGUCGCCGCCCGCUCGGACUGAUAGUGGUCACGGUGUUAUGGUGCGGGACAUGUUUCGUGCCAGACUGCGGGCAUCGUUUCCCAUGUGUAUAUGUACAGUGCCGCGUUCAAGAUGGGACGCACCUGUCUAAUAGUGUCCACAUUUGGACGAAUUUCAUCGUCAUUCAUGCCCUUGUCGCUUUCCUCGCUGAUGUGAAACUGUUUCAGGGAGAGCCAUUGGAUAUGGAGAGCUUCAUCGAUAUAUUUUCAGGUCGCGGCACACCCUUGUGCUUUACAAUUUUGUGGACAAUACAUUGCAUCAAGCGGUGA